RNAcentral lists this ribosomal RNA (497 nucleotides) under uncultured bacterium. Its description in RNAcentral is "partial 16S ribosomal RNA". It matches the Rfam family "Bacterial small subunit ribosomal RNA", at positions 28 to 507 of the family's 1533-position model. The record is from RNAcentral.
GAUGAACGCUGGCGGCGUGCUUAAUACAUGCAAGUCGAACGAACAGGCGAGUACUUUCCGGGGCUCUCGAUUGCCGCACACGGGUGAAACACGCGUGGGUACCGUCCCUCUCAUAGGGAGAAACCUGCGGGACUCGGGCUCAUAUCGCAUAGAAUGUUUUUAUGCAUGUGAUUCUGUAAUGAAAUUCGGUUUUGGUGGCACUUAUAGCCUGUUCCGCGGCGGAUGGGGUAGUUGGUAAGGUAACGGCUUACCAAGGGAACGAUGCGUAGCCAACCUGAGAGGGUGAACGGCCACACUGGAACUGAGACGCGGCCCAGACUCCUACGGGAGGCAGCAGUAGGGAAUCUUGCGCAAUGGGCGAAAGACUGACGGAGCAACGCCGCGUGGGUGAUGAAGGUCUUCGGAUCGGAAAACUCUGUUAUUAGGGAAGAACAAAUGUGUAAGUAACUAUGCACGUCUUGACGGUACCUAGUCAGAAAGCACCGGCUAACUACGUG